ACAACUUUCAACAACGGAUCUCUUGGCUCUCGCAUCGAUGAG
RNAcentral lists this ribosomal RNA (42 nucleotides) under Cyptotrama asprata. RNAcentral describes it as "partial 5.8S ribosomal RNA". Lineage: Eukaryota; Fungi; Basidiomycota; Agaricomycetes; Agaricales; Physalacriaceae. The record is from RNAcentral.